GUAGGUGGCAAGCGUUGUCCGGAUUUAUUGGGUUUAAAGGGUGCGUAGGUGGCUAACUAAGUCAGUGGUGAAAUAUCUCAGCUUAACUGAGAGGGUGCCAUUGAUACUGGAUAGCUUGAGUACAGAUGAGGUAGGCGGAAUUGACGGUGUAGCGGUGAAAUGCAUAGAUAUCGUCAAGAACACCGAUAGCGAAGGCAGCUUACCAAGCUGUAACUGACACUGAGGCACGAAAGUGUGGGGAUCAAACAGGAUUAGAUACCCUGGUAGUCCACGCUGUAAACGAUGAGGACUAGAUGUUGGAAGGGGAACCUUUCAGUAUCGAAGCUAACGCGAUAAGUCUUCCGCCUGGGAAGUACGGCCGCAAGGUUG
Molecule: ribosomal RNA, 369 nt
Filed under: uncultured bacterium
Lineage: Bacteria
Description: bacterial SSU rRNA
Rfam family: Bacterial small subunit ribosomal RNA
Source: RNAcentral